GAUGAACGCUGGCGGCGUGCUUAACACAUGCAAGUCGAACGGAAAGGCCGAAGCUUGCUUCGGUACUCGAGUGGCGAACGGGUGAGUAACACGUGGGUGAUCUGCCCUGUACUUCGGGAUAAGCUUGGGAAACUGGGUCUAAUACCGGAUAUGACGAUCUCUUGGAUGGGGUUGUGGAAAGCUUUUGCGGUAUGGGAUGAGCUCGCGGCCUAUCAGCUUGUUGGUGGGGUAAUGGCCUACCAAGGCGUCGACGGGUAGCCGGCCUGUGAGGGUGUACGGCCACAUUGGGACUGAGAUACGGCCCAGACUCCUACGGGAGGCAGCAGUGGGGAAUAUUGCACAAUGGGCGCAGGCCUGAUGCAGCGACGCCGCGUGGGGGAUGACGGCCUUCGGGUUGUAAACUCCUUUCGCAAUCGACGAAGCCUUUUGGUGACGGUAGGUUGAGAAGAAGCACCGGCUAACUACGUG
Molecule: ribosomal RNA, 468 nt
Filed under: uncultured bacterium
Lineage: Bacteria
Description: partial 16S ribosomal RNA
Rfam family: Bacterial small subunit ribosomal RNA
Source: RNAcentral